This 465-nucleotide ribosomal RNA is filed under the name uncultured bacterium. RNAcentral's name for it is "partial 16S ribosomal RNA". It matches the Rfam family "Bacterial small subunit ribosomal RNA", at positions 339 to 795 of the family's 1533-position model. The record is from RNAcentral.
CUACGGGACGCACCAGUGAGGAAUUUUGCGCAAUGGGGGGAACCCUGACGCAGCAACGCCGCGUGAGUGAUGAAGGCUUUCGGGUCGUAAAGCUCUGUCAAGUGGGAAGAACCUAUGCAGUGUUAAUAUCACUGUAUACUGACGGUACCACUGAAGGAAGCACCGGCUAACUCCGUGCCAGCAGCCGCGGUAAUACGGGGGGUGCAAGCGUUAUUCGGAAUGCUUGGGCGUAAAGGGCACGUAGGCGGCUUGGUAAGUCAGAUGUGAAAGCCCGGGGCUUAACCCCGGAAGUGCAUUUGAUACUGUCAGGCUUGAGUAUGGGAGAGGGAAGUGGAAUUCCUGGUGUAGAGGUGAAAUUCGUAGAUAUCAGGAGGAACACCGGUGGCGAAGGCGACUUCCUGGACCAAUACUGACGCUGAGGUGCGAAGGCGUGGGUAGCAAACAGGAUUAGAUACCCUCGUAGUC